Molecule: ribosomal RNA, 471 nt
Filed under: uncultured bacterium
Lineage: Bacteria
Description: SSU rRNA
Rfam family: Bacterial small subunit ribosomal RNA
Source: RNAcentral
AGAAUGAACGUUGGCGGCGUGGAUUAGGCAUGCAAGUCGAUCGCUCCGCAAGGGGCGAGGCGCAAGGGUGAGUAAGGCGACGGCAACCAACCCCGGGAUUGGGCAUAGCCGCGGGAAACCGCGGGUAAUUCCCAGCGAUGUUUCGAGAGGCAUCUCUUGAAAACCAAAGCUCCGGCGUCGCGGGACGGACCGUCGUGGUAUCAGCUUGUUGGCGGGGUAAUGGCCCACCAAGGCAUUGACGCCUACCGGGCGUGCGAGCGUGGCCCGGCACACUGGGACUGAGACACUGCCCAGACUCCUACGGGAGGCUGCAGUCGAGAAUCUUCGGCAAUGGGCGCAAGCCUGACCGAGCGACGCCGCGUGGAGGACGAAGGCCUUCGGGUUGUAAACUCCUGUCGAGGGGGAAGAAGGGCCUUAAAACCUUGACUGAUCCCUGGAGGAAGCACGGGCUAAGUUCGCGCCAGCAGCCGC